RNAcentral lists this transfer RNA (69 nucleotides) under Garra motuoensis. RNAcentral's name for it is "tRNA-Ala". It matches the Rfam family "tRNA". Rfam says of the family: Transfer RNA (tRNA) molecules are approximately 80 nucleotides in length. Their secondary structure includes four short double-helical elements and three loops (D, anti-codon, and T loops). Further hydrogen bonds mediate the characteristic L-shaped molecular structure. tRNAs have two regions of fundamental functional importance: the anti-codon, which is responsible for specific mRNA codon recognition, and the 3' end, to which the tRNAs corresponding amino acid is attached (by aminoacyl-tRNA synthetases). tRNAs cope with the degeneracy of the genetic code in two manners: having more than one tRNA (with a specific anti-codon) for a particular amino acid; and 'wobble' base-pairing, i.e. permitting non-standard base-pairing at the 3rd anti-codon position. The record is from RNAcentral. Lineage: Eukaryota; Metazoa; Chordata; Actinopteri; Cypriniformes; Cyprinidae.
AAGGUCUUAAUUUAAUAAAAAUGUCUGGGUUGCAUUCAGAAUAUGUGAGUUAGUAUCUUGCAGAUCUUA